This 432-nucleotide ribosomal RNA is filed under the name uncultured bacterium. RNAcentral's name for it is "partial 16S ribosomal RNA". It matches the Rfam family "Bacterial small subunit ribosomal RNA", at positions 29 to 507 of the family's 1533-position model. The record is from RNAcentral.
AACGAACGCUGGCGGCAUGCCUAACACAUGCAAGUCGAACGAGACCUUCGGGUCUAGUGGCGCACGGGUGCGUAACGCGUGGGAACCUGCCCUUAGGUUCGGAAUACUCCCCGAAAGGGGUGCUAAUACCGGAUAAUGUCUUCGGACCAAAGAUUUAUCGCCUUUGGAUGGGCCCGCGUUGGAUUAGCUAGUUGGUAGGGUAAAAGCCUACCAAGGCGACGAUCCAUAGCUGGUCUGAGAGGAUGAUCAGCCACACUGGGACUGAGACACGGCCCAGACUCCUACGGGAGGCAGCAGUGGGGAAUAUUGGACAAUGGGCGAAAGCCUGAUCCAGCAAUGCCGCGUGAGUGAUGAAGGCCUUAGGGUUGUAAAGCUCUUUUAACCGGGAUGAUAAUGACAGUACCGGGAGAAUAAGCGCCGGCUAACUCCGUG